GCCUUCUUUGAUUAAUGUUCUGUUUAUGACAAUGUCUUCUUUGAUUAAUGUUGUGUUUAUGCAAUGCUGCUAGUUGGCUAGGAGUUGAUAAUCGUUAUACUGUGUAAAAGUAUAAAUGCUACUCAGUUGUUGGUUUAUUAGACCAUAAUCAGUAAAAUUUCUAGUAAUCGACAAUUUCAACUGGUCUAUGAUAUCAUAAUCAUAUUAAUUUCUAGUAACCUACGUUUGGAGGGUAGAUUUAAACUACUGUAUGAUUUAGUAAGCACACGAGUAUUUACACAUGAUUCCAUUGGGUCACUAGCAGUAAAGUCUCCACUUUGUUUCUUUACAUUUACUCCCUCGGUCUGUAUUUCAGCUAUACUGUUAAACAAGUUAAAAUUACAUAAAUUUCCCUCCAUUUUAUCUACAUUCUUGCCUUCACAUGGUUCCAACUUCACGUUAGUUUUCACAUCAGAAACAUGUUCCAAACCAGAAUCAUUACCGGAAUGUGGUGAUUCUUUAGGGAGGUAAUCUGGUCUUUUUGUUCUGGACUGGUGAUUGAAGUAGAACUUUCACUCUCCUGUGAUAACUUGUCAGCUAUGGAUACCAACAAGUCAAAGGCGCAUAUUUUGCUACCCUCUGAUGAUUUCCUAUGUGAACUCCUCUAAAGAAACAAAAAAAUGUGUCAAUAUGAGUUUCAAUAGGAAGAAAAACUCAGUAGCAGUUAAACCGCUAUAGAAAGAAUUUGCUACAAACCCCUUUGCCUGCAUUUGAUAAAAGAAAAAGAGAAAUAAGAAUGAAAAUGAAUAAUUAAGAAACCAUGGACAAAGAUAAAUAGAUAUAAAGCAAGUGAUAUUUAUACUAAAGAAGGAAUAUGAGAGAAGAAAACAUACAGCAGGGGUCUUAGAGUUUGUGGGGAAAUAGGAGAACCUUUCGACCCACAUUGAGACAUAAUCAAGGGGCUGUUUCUCCAAUGUAGUUUUUCCAUACACACCUGUCCAAAAAUCAAAAAUGUAUUUGUUUUCCAUCAGUGAAACAAAACUUUUGCAUAGUUUUAUCCCAAUUUAUUUUAUACGGUUUACAAUCUUGAUUACAUCAAUAGUUGAUAGAAAACAAACAAAUGGAUGGAGGUAUUUAAUAUUACCUUUCCAGUUUCAUCUCUGAUCUUAUUCAAGACACCUGUGAUCUAAGCUUCGAGGGUCUGAGCAGCAUUGCAACCAGGUUGAACAUCAUCAAUUCCAAUUGAGAAUCCAUGAUCUCCUAUCCACCGAGCACUGCAUCAAAAUAAUCUCAUCAUACACUUUCACCAAACAUCUAUGCAGAGCUCAAAACUUCUCCAAUAGCAGCAGCCUCACUUGGGCAGGUGUAUAAGGGUAGAUUAAAAGAAAAUGGGGAUUUGGUUGAUGUUAAGGUACAAAGGCCUUAUGUACUUGAAACGGUAACUGUUGAUUUAUUCAUCAUAAGGAACUUGGGAUUGGCUCUUAGACGUUUUCCUCAGGUCUGAGGUUAUCCAUUGGAAAUUUACCAUUACAUAUGGAUGGGGUACUAGUGCAAACAACCAAGAGCAGGAGGAUCCGUAUGGUAGAAAGAAAAACCAGAAAAAGAAGUGCUGAUAAACACAAAACGAAACAUCUUGAAGCAAGGUAUACAUAUUAACAAACAUUAUUUGAGUUAAUAUAUGAAUCAAGAGUACAUAAAGCAUUGAAUUUGUUUUGAAAAGAGCAGAAACUUACCUUGGGCAUCUUCAAUUUUAUAUAAAAUGAAAACAUGAUCAGUGAUGCCCACUUCUUAUGGUUGGAAUGGAAUCAUAUAGUAGGUUUGUAUUUUGUAGAGAUUGAUCAUUCGGUUACAAUUCACAUGGUAAAAGCUUUGUAGAAAUUAAAGAGUUUGUUUCAGUUGGAAUAGUUGGAAUGGUGAUCCAUGUGUUCCGCAGCAUCCAUGGAGUGGAAUUGGCUGAUUAAUAAGGCUGGAAUGCAAAGUCAGAAUGGGCUGGAAGGAAUGGGAUACUUGAGACAUCAAGCACGGUUGUUUAUUGGUGCAUUAGGUUGUUUAUUGGUGUAUUAGAUGUGUAUAUAUGGCGUAUUAGAUGAUACUUGAGACAUCAAGUACGGUUGUUUUGGUGUAUUAGAUGUCUAUAUAUGGCGUACUAGAUGAUUGUAUGGGAUGGUAUUGGAUACAUAUAAUACGGUUAAAUAGCCGUACUUUAUUAUGCAUGUAAUCUAAUACACCCCUCUACUAAUACGCCUGCAAUGUACGUACUAUAUUCAUAAUUUCAACCGUACUCUAUUAACCUUUUUCUAGUA
Molecule: long non-coding RNA, 2282 nt
Organism: Lactuca sativa (garden lettuce)
Lineage: Eukaryota; Viridiplantae; Streptophyta; Magnoliopsida; Asterales; Asteraceae
Source: RefSeq, a predicted model, not a curated record